Molecule: long non-coding RNA, 770 nt
Filed under: Equus asinus (donkey)
Lineage: Eukaryota; Metazoa; Chordata; Mammalia; Perissodactyla; Equidae
Description: lncRNA (ENSEASG00005030524.1)
Source: RNAcentral
CGGGAAUCCUGGCCUCCAGAAGUAUGAGGUGUCGACUGAGGAAAAAUCCACUACACUUCAAAUAGCAGAUAUUUCUUUGGACAAUUAGAAAUGCAACUCGGGAGACACAGAUCCAGGCAGAAACCCAAAAUGUGUUCUGAGGAAAACAAGGAGUUCUUCCAGUAGUUUUCUCGACUUUGCCUGAUGACUGAGGAUGAUCGGAACAGUGAAAUUCCAAGAAGUUUGAAAGGUUUUCAUUAAGGUUCAUGCUGACAUUGCUCUGCUAGACUGGGAACGACGGAACAGGCAGAGGCCACAAGAUCCCCACAUUCUUGCUGAAGAGGGUUGCUCUAGGUUGAGCAGGCAGAAGAAAGAUUUGAAAGAUGGAACAACAACUUCUAAACUGAUGGCAGAGCUGUAAAUAUCUUGGAAGCCACCUCCAGAAUUCUCAGCCUCGCACGCAGUUCUAAGAAAUGGGGGAAGUUCUUUUUAACACAGAUGCUGCCUGGCUGUCAAUCUGAAAAGACAAGGCAACAAAGUGGGAGGCUGUCAGAGAGGGAUUCCAGCCUGGCCUUGAAGAGUCAUCGCUGUGCGUGUGCAGGGCAGAAACGGUGGGUGAUCUUGUGUGGGCCUCUCCAUCUGGCACAUGGACCCUUCUGUUGCUCAGUUUACUGUGGUUUAAGAGCAGUGGCUUUCAGAGCAUCCCAUAGCAAGAAGGACAGUGUGUAUCAUGGUCCAGCACACACUUACAUAAAUAAAACCAUAUGAGUAACUGAAAUAAUUUAAUAAAC